Molecule: ribosomal RNA, 484 nt
Filed under: uncultured bacterium
Lineage: Bacteria
Description: partial 16S ribosomal RNA
Rfam family: Bacterial small subunit ribosomal RNA
Source: RNAcentral
AUUGAACGCUGGCGGCAUGCUUUACACAUGCAAGUCGAACGGCAGCGCGGGCUUCGGCCUGGCGGCGAGUGGCGAACGGGUGAGUAAUGCAUCGGAACGUGCCCAGUAGUGGGGGAUAGCCCGGCGAAAGCCGGAUUAAUACCGCAUACGACCUGAGGGUGAAAGCGGGGGACCGAAAGGCCUCGCGCUAUUGGAGCAGCCGAUGUCGGAUUAGCUAGUUGGUGGGGUAAAGGCUUACCAAGGCGACGAUCCGUAGCUGGUCUGAGAGGACGACCAGCCACACUGGGACUGAGACACGGCCCAGACUCCUACGGGAGGCAGCAGUGGGGAAUUUUGGACAAUGGGGGCAACCCUGAUCCAGCCAUGCCGCGUGCGGGAAGAAGGCCUUCGGGUUGUAAACCGCUUUUGUUCGGGAAGAAAUCCUCUGGGCUAAUACCCCGGGGGGAUGACGGUACCGGAAGAAUAAGCACCGGCUAACUACGUG